Molecule: ribosomal RNA, 492 nt
Filed under: uncultured bacterium
Lineage: Bacteria
Description: partial 16S ribosomal RNA
Rfam family: Bacterial small subunit ribosomal RNA
Source: RNAcentral
AGUGAACGCUGGCGGUAGGCCUAACACAUGCAAGUCGAACGGCCGCACAGUAAGCGUUUGUCCUUACUGGUGGCGGGGGGCGGGCGGGUGAGGCAUACAUCGGAAUCUACUUUUUCGUGGGGGAUUACGUAGGGCAAUUUACGAUAAUACCGCAUAUGAUCUACGGGAGAGAUCAAGGGAUCUUGGCACUUUGGGUGUCUCAAUGAGCCGAUGUCGCAUUAGCUAGUUGGUAGGGUAAGGUCACACCAAGGCAACGAUGCGUAGCUGAUCUGAGAGGAUGAUCAGCCACACUGGAACUGAGACACGGUCCAGACUCCUACGGGAGGCAGCAGUAGGGAAUAUUGGGCAAUGGGCGCAAGCCUGAUCCAGCCACGCCGCGUGAGUGAUGAAGGCCUUCGGAUUGUAAAGCCCUGUUAUUAGGAAAGAAAAGAAGUGUAAGUAAACGCCCAUGUUCUGACGGUACCCAAUGAAAAAGCACCGGCUAACUUCGUG